This 307-nucleotide non-coding RNA is filed under the name Pan troglodytes (chimpanzee). Lineage: Eukaryota; Metazoa; Chordata; Mammalia; Primates; Hominidae. The record is from RNAcentral.
CGACUCCAUUGCAAAGAAACAUAAUAUAUGGAAAAAUUACUAGAAAAUCUAGGAAAACUGACUGAAUGCUUUGGAAAGACACAGUCAAGAUUAACAUGCUGAGACUCGGGAGGUGGUGAUUUGCCUAGGGACACAGAAAAAUUAAAAAAAAUGUGUCACAAGAAAGUUUACAGAACCUACUCAAACUCAAAGAGAAAUCAGAGACUAAAUUCUCAAAACUGGAAGCUGCCUGCAGCAUCCACACUCUUCAGCCCUGUACUAUGUGAUGUGUAUUACGAAUGGAGCCACCAGCAGUAUUUGUAUGAAC